This 253-nucleotide ribosomal RNA is filed under the name uncultured bacterium. Its description in RNAcentral is "partial 16S ribosomal RNA". It matches the Rfam family "Bacterial small subunit ribosomal RNA", at positions 524 to 776 of the family's 1533-position model. The record is from RNAcentral.
UACAGAGGUCUCAAGCGUUGUUCGGAUUCAUUGGGCGUAAAGGGUGCGUAGGUGGCGCUGUAAGUCAGGUGUGAAAUUUCGGAGCUUAACUCCGAAACUGCAUUUGAUACUGCGGUGCUUGAGGACUGGAGAGGAGACUGGAAUUCACGGUGUAGCAGUGAAAUGCGUAGAGAUCGUAAGGAAGGCCAGUGGCGAAGGCGAGUUCCUGGACAGUUACUGACGCUGAGGCACGAAGGCCAGGGGAGCAAACGGG